This 509-nucleotide long non-coding RNA is filed under the name Eutrema salsugineum. RNAcentral's name for it is "long non-coding RNA (ESAL_LNC002211)". Lineage: Eukaryota; Viridiplantae; Streptophyta; Magnoliopsida; Brassicales; Brassicaceae. The record is from RNAcentral.
UGGAAAUAGGGUUUCUGUAAAAGUAUGAAAGGUGAUGUCUAAAAACAACCUAAAUGACAAGUAUUUAUAGUCUUCAAUACUCCAAUGUCUCUAGGGUUCCGGAAUUGAGGCUUGGGAAAUGACUUGGGCUUCAGAAAUGGGCUUCUUAGGUCGGAGAUGAAGGCUUGGCCGCGGUUGCGUGGGCUGUGACCGAGGGGAAUGAAGGCUUGGCCGCGGUCGCGUGGCUCUUGCCGCGGUGGAUGGGCUGCUGGCCGCAGUCCCGUGGCUUGCUGUCCCUCUUCGAGUGUCUCCAGGGCAAAUGGAAUAUCUUGAGAUCCAACCGUUGGAAUGUCUCCAAACCAAGUGCAUUUGAAAGCUGGUUGGGUCUUCUAUUAAUUUUCCAAUUUUGAGGGUGGUCAGACGGUGGGAAGGUCUUCGUCUCUCCAUGAGAGUUCUGACGGUCUGCAUUUAUCCAAAAGAGUCUUUUUGUUCCAAUUUGCACAUCUUUAUCCCAAAUUACCUAAAAAGUC